This 773-nucleotide ribosomal RNA is filed under the name Streptococcus sp. HFH0041. RNAcentral's name for it is "bacterial SSU rRNA". It matches the Rfam family "Bacterial small subunit ribosomal RNA", at positions 75 to 834 of the family's 1533-position model. Lineage: Bacteria; Bacillati; Bacillota; Bacilli; Lactobacillales; Streptococcaceae. The record is from RNAcentral.
GGAGCUUGCUCUUCUUGGAUGAGUUGCGAACGGGUGAGUAACGCGUAGGUAACCUGCCUUGUAGCGGGGGAUAACUAUUGGAAACGAUAGCUAAUACCGCAUAACAAUGGAUGACACAUGUCAUUUAUUUGAAAGGGGCAAUUGCUCCACUACAAGAUGGACCUGCGUUGUAUUAGCUAGUAGGUGAGGUAACGGCUCACCUAGGCGACGAUACAUAGCCGACCUGAGAGGGUGAUCGGCCACACUGGGACUGAGACACGGCCCAGACUCCUACGGGAGGCAGCAGUAGGGAAUCUUCGGCAAUGGGGGCAACCCUGACCGAGCAACGCCGCGUGAGUGAAGAAGGUUUUCGGAUCGUAAAGCUCUGUUGUAAGUCAAGAACGAGUGUGAGAGUGGAAAGUUCACACUGUGACGGUAGCUUACCAGAAAGGGACGGCUAACUACGUGCCAGCAGCCGCGGUAAUACGUAGGUCCCGAGCGUUGUCCGGAUUUAUUGGGCGUAAAGCGAGCGCAGGCGGUUUGAUAAGUCUGAAGUUAAAGGCUGUGGCUCAACCAUAGUUCGCUUUGGAAACUGUCAAACUUGAGUGCAGAAGGGGAGAGUGGAAUUCCAUGUGUAGCGGUGAAAUGCGUAGAUAUAUGGAGGAACACCGGUGGCGAAAGCGGCUCUCUGGUCUGUAACUGACGCUGAGGCUCGAAAGCGUGGGGAGCGAACAGGAUUAGAUACCCUGGUAGUCCACGCCGUAAACGAUGAGUGCUAGGUGUUGGAUCCUUUC